GACGAACGCUGGCGGCGUGCUUAACACAUGCAAGUCGAACGGAAAGGCCCUGCUUUUGUGGGGUGCUCGAGUGGCGAACGGGUGAGUAACACGUGAGUAACCUGCCCUUGACUUUGGGAUAACUUCAGGAAACUGGGGCUAAUACCGGAUAGGAGCUCUUGCUGCAUGGUGGGGGUUGGAAAGUUUCGGCGGUUGGGGAUGGACUCGCGGCUUAUCAGCUUGUUGGUGGGGUAGUGGCUUACCAAGGCUUUGACGGGUAGCCGGCCUGAGAGGGUGACCGGCCACAUUGGGACUGAGAGACGGCCCAGACUCCUACGGGAGGCAGCGGUGGGGAAUAUUGCACAAUGGGCGGAAGCCUGAUGCAGCAACGCCGCGUGCGGGAUGACGGCCUUCGGGUUGUAAACCGCUUUCGCCUGUGACGAAGCGUGAGUGACGGUAAUGGGUAAAGAAGCACCGGCUAACUACGUG
Molecule: ribosomal RNA, 468 nt
Filed under: uncultured bacterium
Lineage: Bacteria
Description: partial 16S ribosomal RNA
Rfam family: Bacterial small subunit ribosomal RNA
Source: RNAcentral